AGUUUUUUUAAAUCUUCACCCUGGCAGGAGUUUUUUCAAAAUGUUCGGUUUCAGUGACCUGGUGCAGCGCUUGCGUGAGGACGAACGGAACAAACCGCAGAGAAAAAGCUGCUGUUUUGAAAAUAACCGCGUUCGUGUGGACGGCCAAUGGGCGCGCGCGUUGAGCAUUCAAAUCACAUUUAAACUGAAGCUGAGGAGGUUACCAUGGUAACAGGGCGUCAACUCACUCAGCUGACAAGUCACGAGAAGCUGUCUCUCUGCUGUCUUCACUGCUUUCAGGUAAGUUUCGUCCCUAAAGUUACACAAAUAAUACAUACAACUGUUCCUGACACUUUCUUACAUGUUACUGACACGUUUCUGUUGAAUCUUUACUUUACAGGAGUGGUAUAGUGUCUUCAAAAAGACCGUUAGCAUCACAACCGUUAACUAUAGAGGCUAACAAUUAGAGGAGCGUCAGUAAAAAAUACCUAAAACAGGGGAAGUUACAAAACAAUUUGUAAUGUGAGCUGCUGACAGAGAUACAGGAAACACAGAGCUGGAGCGGAGCAGAUCUCCUGUCGAAGAACAUCUCCAAAGCACCAUGAACCAUCUGACUAGGCAGUUCGUGAAGACGGAUAACCUGGACAGAAGUCGGUUCCAGAUCCAGCCUCCACACCAGACUUCUCACUCACAAGGAUUGCUGUCUACUAGAUAUUAUGUGUACUCUUCAGACUUAGGUUCAUGCAGAUAUUAUUCAGGGACAUGAACACUUGAAUACUGCAAAAAUAGAGAAACUACCUUAUUUAAGAAUUUUGUGUUAAUUGCAUGAACAUUAAACAAAUAUAUUUAGUUUACUGUUUUUUGUUUUGUAUUCCAAAGCACCUAAAAGCCAAUUCACACUGCCAUACUCCAACAGGGUGAACACACUGACCAAGCAAAACAAAUAAGCAUGUUUUUAUAGUUUUUGUGAAAGUGUGAACUGACAAUGCUGUAUGUUAGGUGUGAGAUUCAUUCAACUUGGUUUGCUGAUUAAACAUGAUUAAAUAUUUGUUCAGAAUAUUUUGUUGUUGUUGUGACUAUUCAUCUAGGAGGGGUGUGUAUCAAGUGGC
Molecule: long non-coding RNA, 1088 nt
Organism: Onychostoma macrolepis
Lineage: Eukaryota; Metazoa; Chordata; Actinopteri; Cypriniformes; Cyprinidae
Exons: 4
Source: RefSeq, a predicted model, not a curated record